AGUGACAGUGGGGAAGGGACAAGAUCUUUUUGGAUCUGGGGUGUCCAUGGUUUUUUUCCCAGCGUUGCUGUUGCUGGUGAUAGUGUCACUGCCUCAUUUC
Turdus rufiventris (rufous-bellied thrush) is the source of this 100-nucleotide non-coding RNA. The record is from the annotation of a GenBank genome assembly. NCBI's taxonomy places the organism in Eukaryota, Metazoa, Chordata, Aves, Passeriformes, Turdidae.